GAUGAAGACGCAGCGAAAUGCGAUACGUAAUGUGAAUUGCAAAUUCAGUGAAUCAUCGAGUCUUUGAACGCACAUUGCGCCCCCUGGUAUUCCGGGGGGCAUGCCUGUCCGAGCGUCAUUGCUGCCCUCAAGCACGGCUUGUGUGUUGGGCCCCGUCCUCCGAUCCCGGGGGACGGGCCCGAAAGGCAGCGGCGGCACCGCGUCCGGUCCUCGAGCGUAUGGGGCUUUGUCACCCGCUCUGUAGGCCCGGCCGGCGCUUGCCGAUCAACCCAAAUUUUUUAUCCAGGUUGACCUCGGAUCAGGUAGGGAUACCCGCUGAACUUAAGCAUAUCAAUAAGCGGAGGA
RNAcentral lists this unclassified non-coding RNA (345 nucleotides) under soil metagenome. Its description in RNAcentral is "partial contains 5.8S ribosomal RNA, internal transcribed spacer 2, and large subunit ribosomal RNA". The stretch from base 1 to 118 matches the Rfam family "5.8S ribosomal RNA", at positions 35 to 154 of the family's 154-position model. The record is from RNAcentral.